AGUGAACGCUGGCGGUAGGCCUAACACAUGCAAGUCGAACGGCAGCACAGUAAGAGCUUGCUCUUACGGGUGGCGAGUGGCGGAUGGGUGAGGAAUACAUCGGAAUCUACUUUUUCGUGGGGGAUAACGUAGGGAAACUUACGCUAAUACCGCAUACGACCUACGGGUGAAAGCAGGGGAUCUUCGGACCUUGCGCGAUUGAAUGAGCCGAUGUCGGAUUAGCUAGUUGGCGGGGUAAAGGCCCACCAAGGCGACGAUCCGUAGCUGGUCUGAGAGGAUGAUCAGCCACACUGGAACUGAGACACGGUCCAGACUCCUACGGGAGGCAGCAGUGGUGAAUAUUGGACAAUGGGCGCAAGCCUGAUCCAGCCAUACCGCGUGGGUGAAGAAGGCCUUCGGGUUGUAAAGCCCUUUUGUUGGGAAAGAAAAGCAGCAGGUUAAUACCCCGCUGUUCUGACGGUACCCAAAGAAUAAGCACCGGCUAACUUCGUG
RNAcentral lists this ribosomal RNA (492 nucleotides) under uncultured bacterium. Its description in RNAcentral is "partial 16S ribosomal RNA". It matches the Rfam family "Bacterial small subunit ribosomal RNA", at positions 29 to 507 of the family's 1533-position model. The record is from RNAcentral.